AGGCGACGAUCCGUAGCUGGUCUGAGAGGAUGAUCAGCCACAUCGGGACUGAGACACGGCCCGAACUCCUACGGGAGGCAGCAGUGGGGAAUAUUGGACAAUGGGCGAAAGCCUGAUCCAGCCAUGCCGCGUGUGUGAAGAAGGCCUUAUGGUUGUAAAGCACUUUAAGCGAGGAGGAGGCUACUGAGACUAAUACUCUUGGAUAGUGGACGUUACUCGCAGAAUAAGCACCGGCUAACUCUGUGCCAGCAGCCGCGGUAAUACAGAGGGUGCGAGCGUUAAUCGGAUUUACUGGGCGUAAAGCGUGCGUAGGCGGCUUUUUAAGUCGGAUGUGAAAUCCCCGAGCUUAACUUGGGAAUUGCAUUCGAUACUGGGAAGCUAGAGUAUGGGAGAGGAUGGUAGAAUUCCAGGUGUAGCGGUGAAAUGCGUAGAGAUCUGGAGGAAUACCGAUGGCGAAGGCAGCCAUCUGGCCUAAUACUGACGCUGAGGUACGAAAGCAUGGGGAGCAAACAGGAUUAGAUACCCUGGUAGUCCACGCCGUAAAC
This 545-nucleotide ribosomal RNA is filed under the name Heterosigma akashiwo. Its description in RNAcentral is "partial Bacterial small subunit ribosomal RNA". It matches the Rfam family "Bacterial small subunit ribosomal RNA", at positions 271 to 807 of the family's 1533-position model. Lineage: Eukaryota; Raphidophyceae; Chattonellales; Chattonellaceae. The record is from RNAcentral.